RNAcentral lists this ribosomal RNA (271 nucleotides) under uncultured bacterium. RNAcentral's name for it is "partial 16S ribosomal RNA". It matches the Rfam family "Bacterial small subunit ribosomal RNA", at positions 524 to 794 of the family's 1533-position model. The record is from RNAcentral.
UACGUAGGGGGCAAGCGUUGUCCGGAAUCAUUGGGCGUAAAGAGCGCGUAGGCGGUCCGGUAAGUCCGCUGUGAAAGUCAAGGGCUCAACCCUUGGAUGCCGGCGGAUACUGUCGGGCUAGAGUCCGGAAGAGGCGAGUGGAAUUCCUGGUGUAGCGGUGAAAUGCGCAGAUAUCGGGAGGAACACCGGUGGCGAAGGCGGGUCUCUGGGCCGAUACUGACGCUGAGGAGCGAAAGCGUGGGGAGCGAACAGGAUUAGAUACCCCAGUAGU